CCUACGGGAGGCAGCAGUGAGGAAUAUUGGUCAAUGGCCGAGAGGCUGAACCAGCCAAGUCGCGUGAGGGAAGACGGCCCUACGGGUUGUAAACCUCUUUUGUCGGGGAGCAAAGAGAGUCACGUGGGACGCAUUGAGAGUACCCGAAGAAAAAGCAUCGGCUAACUCCGUGCCAGCAGCCGCGGUAAUACGUCUGGAGCAAGCGUUAUCCGGAUUUACUGGGCGGAAAGGGAGCGUAGGCGGCCUGCCAAGUCUGAUGUGAAAUACCGGGGCUCACCCCCGGGGCUGCAUUGGAAACUGGCAGGCUGGCGUGCCGGCGAGGCAGGCGGCAUUCCUAGUGUAGCGGUGAGAUGCGUAGAUCUUAGGAGGAACCCCAGUGGCGACGGCGGCCUGCUGGACGGUGACUGCCGCUGUGGCUCGAACGCGUGGGGAGCACACCGGAUUCGAUACCCGAGUAGUC
This 460-nucleotide ribosomal RNA is filed under the name uncultured bacterium. Its description in RNAcentral is "partial 16S ribosomal RNA". It matches the Rfam family "Bacterial small subunit ribosomal RNA", at positions 338 to 795 of the family's 1533-position model. The record is from RNAcentral.